Molecule: ribosomal RNA, 495 nt
Filed under: uncultured bacterium
Lineage: Bacteria
Description: partial 16S ribosomal RNA
Rfam family: Bacterial small subunit ribosomal RNA
Source: RNAcentral
GACGAACGCUGGCGGCGUGCCUAAUACAUGCAAGUAGAACGCUGAAGGAGGAGCUUGCUUCUCUGGAUGAGUUGCGAACGGGUGAGUAACGCGUAGGUAACCUGCCUGGUAGCGGGGGAUAACUAUUGGAAACGAUAGCUAAUACCGCAUAAUAGUAGAUGUUGCAUGACAUUUGCUUAAAAGGUGCAAUUGCAUCACUACCAGAUGGACCUGCGUUGUAUUAGCUAGUUGGUGGGGUAACGGCUCACCAAGGCGACGAUACAUAGCCGACCUGAGAGGGGGAUCGGCCACACUGGGACUGAGACACGGCCCAGACUCCUACGGGAGGCAGCAGUAGGGAAUCUUCGGCAAUGGACGGAAGGCUGACCGAGCAACGCCGCGUGAGUGAAGAAGGUUUUCGGAUCGUAAAGCUCUGUUGUAAGAGAAGAACGAGUGUGAGAGUGGAAAGUUCACACUGUGACGGUAUCUUACCAGAAAGGGACGGCUAACUACGUG